AAUAGAUACCCCGGUAGUCCACGCCGUAAACGAUGUCGACUUGGAGGUUGUGCCCUUGAGGCGUGGCUUCCGGAGCUAACGCGUUAAGUCGACCGCCUGGGGAGUACGGCCGCAAGGUUAAAACUCAAAUGAAUUGACGGGGGCCCGCACAAGCGGUGGAGCAUGUGGUUUAAUUCGAUGCAACGCGAAGAACCUUACCUGGUCUUGACAUCCACAGAAUUCUGCAGAGAUGCGGAAGUGCCUUCGGGAACUGUGAGACAGGUGCUGCAUGGCUGUCGUCAGCUCGUGUUGUGAAAUGUUGGGUUAAGUCCCGCAACGAGCGCAACCCUUAUCCUUUGUUGCCAGCGGUCCGGCCGGGAACUCAAAGGAGACUGCCAGUGAUAAACUGGAGGAAGGUGGGGAUGACGUCAAGUCAUCAUGGCCCUUACGACCAGGGCUACACACGUGCUACAAUGGCGCAUACAAAGAGAAGCGACCCCGCGAGGGCAAGCGGACCUCAUAAAGUGCGUCGUAGUCCGGAUUGGAGUCUGCAAC
RNAcentral lists this ribosomal RNA (534 nucleotides) under uncultured bacterium. RNAcentral describes it as "bacterial SSU rRNA". It matches the Rfam family "Bacterial small subunit ribosomal RNA", at positions 777 to 1311 of the family's 1533-position model. The record is from RNAcentral.